CGGACGGGUGAGUAACGCGUGAGAAUCUGCCCUCAGGAGGGGGAUAACGGCUGGAAACGGCCGCUAAUACCCCAUAUGCCGCGAGGUGAAAUGAAUUUCGCCUGAGGAUGAGCUCGCGUCUGAUUAGCUAGUUGGUGGGGUAAGAGCCUACCAAGGCAUCGAUCAGUAGCUGGUCUGAGAGGAUGAUCAGCCACACUGGGACUGAGACACGGCCCAGACUCCUACGGGAGGCAGCAGUGGGGAAUUUUCCGCAAUGGGCGAAAGCCUGACGGAGCAACGCCGCGUGAGGGAUGAAGGCCUCUGGGCUGUAAACCUCUUUUAUCAAGGAAGAAGAUCUGACGGUACUUGAUGAAUAAGCCACGGCUAAUUCCGUGCCAGCAGCCGCGGUAAUACGGGAGUGGCAAGCGUUAUCCGGAAUUAUUGGGCGUAAAGCGUCCGCAGGCGGUCUUGUAAGUCUGUCGUUAAAGCGUGGAGCUUAACUCCAUUUCAGCGAUGGAAACUGCAAGACUAGAGUGUGGUAGGGGCAGAGGGAAUUCCCGGUGUAGCGGUGAAGUGCGUAGAUAUCGGGAAGAACACCAGUGGCGAAGGCGCUCUGCUGGGCCAUAACUGACGCUCAUGGACGAAAGCCAGGGGAGCGAAAGGGAUUAGAUACCCCUGUAGUC
This 662-nucleotide ribosomal RNA is filed under the name uncultured Cyanobacterium sp. Its description in RNAcentral is "bacterial SSU rRNA". It matches the Rfam family "Bacterial small subunit ribosomal RNA", at positions 99 to 795 of the family's 1533-position model. Lineage: Bacteria; Bacillati; Cyanobacteriota; Cyanophyceae; Chroococcales; Geminocystaceae. The record is from RNAcentral.